CACUAUCGUUAACUGAAUACAUAGGUUAACGAGGCGAACCGGGGGAACUGAAACAUCUAAGUACCCCGAGGAAAAGAAAUCAACCGAGAUUCCCCCAGUAGCGGCGAGCGAACGGGGAGCAGCCCAGAGUCUGAAUCAGCUUGUGUGUUAGUGGAACGGUCUGGAAAGUCCGACGGUACAGGGUGAUAGUCCCGUACACCAAAAUGCACAGGUUGUGAACUCGAAGAGUAGGGCGGGACACGUGGUAUCCUGUCUGAAUAUGGGGGGACCAUCCUCCAAGGCUAAAUACUCCUGACUGACCGAUAGUGAACCAGUACCGUGAGGGAAAGGCGAAAAGAACCCCGGCGAGGGGAGUGAAAAAGAACCUGAAACCGUGUACGUACAAGCAGUGGGAGCACCUUCGGGUGUGACUGCGUACCUUUUGUAUAAUGGGUCAGCGACUUAUAUUCUGUAGCAAGGUUAACCGUAUAGGGGAGCCGCAGGGAAACCGAGUCUUAACUGGGCGUUAAGUUGCAGGGUAUAGACCCGAAACCCGGUGAUCUAGCCAUGGGCAGGUUGAAGGUUGGGUAACACUAACUGGAGGACCGAACCGACUAAUGUUGAAAAAUUAGCGGAUGACUUGUGGCUGGGGGUGAAAGGCCAAUCAAACCGGGAGAUAGCUGGUUCUCCCCGAAAGCUAUUUAGGUAGCGCCUCGUGAACUCAUCUUCGGGGGUAGAGCACUGUUUCGGCUAGGGGGUCAUCCCGACUUACCAACCCGAUGCAAACUACGAAUACCGAAGAAUGUUAUCACGGGAGACACACGGCGGGUGCUAACGUCCGUCGUGAAGAGGGAAACAACCCAGACCGCCAGCUAAGGUCCCAAAGUCAUGGUUAAGUGGGAAACGAUGUGGGAAGGCACAGACAGCCAGGAUGUUGGCUUAGAAGCAGCCAUCAUUUAAAGAAAGCGUAAUAGCUCACUGGUCGAGUCGGCCUGCGCGGAAGAUGUAACGGGGCUAAACCAUGCACCGAAGCUGCGGCAGCGACACUAUGUGUUGUUGGGUAGGGGAGCGUUCUGUAAGCCUGCGAAGGUGUGCUGUGAGGCAUGCUGGAGGUAUCAGAAGUGCGAAUGCUGACAUAAGUAACGAUAAAGCGGGUGAAAAGCCCGCUCGCCGGAAGACCAAGGGUUCCUGUCCAACGUUAAUCGGGGCAGGGUGAGUCGACCCCUAAGGCGAGGCCGAAAGGCGUAGUCGAUGGGAAACAGGUUAAUAUUCCUGUACUUGGUGUUACUGCGAAGGGGGGACGGAGAAGGCUAUGUUAGCCGGGCGACGGUUGUCCCGGUUUAAGCAUGUAGGCUGGUUAUCCAGGCAAAUCCGGAUAAUCAAGGCUGAGGUGUGAUGACGAGGCACUACGGUGCUGAAGUAACAAAUGCCCUGCUUCCAGGAAAAGCCUCUAAGCAUCAGGUAACAUCAAAUCGUACCCCAAACCGACACAGGUGGUCAGGUAGAGAAUACCAAGGCGCUUGAGAGAACUCGGGUGAAGGAACUAGGCAAAAUGGUGCCGUAACUUCGGGAGAAGGCACGCUGGUGUGUAGGUGAAGUCCCUGCGGAUGGAGCUGAGACCAGUCGAAGAUACCAGCUGGCUGCAACUGUUUAUUAAAAACACAGCACUGUGCAAACACGAAAGUGGACGUAUACGGUGUGACGCCUGCCCGGUGCCGGAAGGUUAAUUGAUGGGGUUAUCCGUAAGGAGAAGCUCUUGAUCGAAGCCCCGGUAAACGGCGGCCGUAACUAUAACGGUCCUAAGGUAGCGAAAUUCCUUGUCGGGUAAGUUCCGACCUGCACGAAUGGCGUAAUGAUGGCCAGGCUGUCUCCACCCGAGACUCAGUGAAAUUGAACUCGCUGUGAAGAUGCAGUGUACCCGCGGCAAGACGGAAAGACCCCGUGAACCUUUACUAUAGCUUGACACUGAACAUUGAGCCUUGAUGUGUAGGAUAGGUGGGAGGCUUUGAAGCGUGGACGCCAGUCUGCGUGGAGCCAACCUUGAAAUACCACCCUUUAAUGUUUGAUGUUCUAACGUUGGCCCCU
Molecule: ribosomal RNA, 2064 nt
Filed under: Klebsiella pneumoniae
Lineage: Bacteria; Pseudomonadati; Pseudomonadota; Gammaproteobacteria; Enterobacterales; Enterobacteriaceae
Description: partial 23S ribosomal RNA
Rfam family: Bacterial large subunit ribosomal RNA
Source: RNAcentral